AAAACUGCGAAUGGCUCAUUAAAUCAGUUAUCGUUUAUUUGAUAGUUCCUUUACUACAUGGUAUAACUGUGGUAAUUCUAGAGCUAAUACAUGCUUAAAAUCUCGACCCUUUGGAAGAGAUGUAUUUAUUAGAUAAAAAAUCAAUGUCUUCGGACUCUUUGAUGAUUCAUAAUAACUUUUCGAAUCGCAUGGCCUUGUGCUGGCGAUGGUUCAUUCAAAUUUCUGCCCUAUCAACUUUCGAUGGUAGGAUAGUGGCCUACCAUGGUUUCAACGGGUAACGGGGAAUAAGGGUUCGAUUCCGGAGAGGGAGCCUGAGAAACGGCUACCACAUCCAAGGAAGGCAGCAGGCGCGCAAAUUACCCAAUCCUAAUUCAGGGAGGUAGUGACAAUAAAUAACGAUACAGGGCCCAUUCGGGUCUUGUAAUUGGAAUGAGUACAAUGUAAAUACCUUAACGAGGAACAAUUGGAGGGCAAGUCUGGUGCCAGCAGCCGCGGUAAUUCCAGCUCCAAUAGCGUAUAUUAAAGUUGUUGCAGUUAAAAAGCUCGUAGUUGAACUUUGGGCCCGGUUGGCCGGUCCGAUUUUUUCGUGUACUGGAUUUCCAACGGGGCCUUUCCUUCUGGCUAACCUUGAGUCCUUGUGGCUCUUGGCGAACCAGGACUUUUACUUUGAAAAAAUUAGAGUGUUCAAAGCAGGCGUAUUGCUCGAAUAUAUUAGCAUGGAAUAAUAGAAUAGGACGUUUGGUUCUAUUUUGUUGGUUUCUAGGACCAUCGUAAUGAUUAAUAGGGACGGUCGGGGGCAUCAGUAUUCAAUUGUCAGAGGUGAAAUUCUUGGAUUUAUUGAAGACUAACUACUGCGAAAGCAUUUGCCAAGGACGUUUUCAUUAAUCAAGAACGAAAGUUAGGGGAUCGAAGAUGAUCAGAUACCGUCGUAGUCUUAACCAUAAACUAUGCCGACUAGGGAUCGGGUGGUGUUUUUUUAAUGACCCACUCGGCACCUUACGAGAAAUCAAAGUCUUUGGGUUCUGGGGAG
This 1030-nucleotide ribosomal RNA is filed under the name Saccharomyces cerevisiae (brewer's yeast). RNAcentral's name for it is "SSU rRNA". It matches the Rfam family "Eukaryotic small subunit ribosomal RNA", at positions 83 to 1121 of the family's 1831-position model. Lineage: Eukaryota; Fungi; Ascomycota; Saccharomycetes; Saccharomycetales; Saccharomycetaceae. The record is from RNAcentral.